AGAGUUUGAUCCUGGCUCAGAACGAACGCUGGCGGCGUGGAUUAGGCAUGCAAGUCAAACGAGAAAGCUUCCUUCGGGAAGUGAUUAAAGUGGCGAAAGGGUGAGUAAUGUAUGGAUAACUUACCCUCGAGACGGGGACAACAGCUCGAAAGGGCUGCUAAUACCCGAUAGUUCCUGUUGCUUACGGGCUUCAGGAUAAAUGGUGCUUCCGCUCGAGGAGAGGUCAUAUCCUAUCAGCUUGUUGGUGGGGUAAGAGCCUACCAAGGCGAUGACGGGUAGCCGGACUGAGAGGUUGGCCGGCCACACUGGGACUGAGACACUGCCCAGACUCCUACGGGAGGCUGCAGUCGAGAAUCUUCCGCAAUGGGCGAAAGCCUGACGGAGCGACGCCGCGUGCAGGAGGACGGCCCUCGGGUUGUAAACUGCUGUCACACGUUAAGAAACGUUAUGUUUGAUCAUGACUUGACAAAAGCGUGAGAGGAAGUCACGGCUAACUUCGUGCCAGCAGCCGCGGUAAGACGAAGGUGGCAAGCGUUGUUCGGAAUUACUGGGCAUAAAGCGCGCGUAGGUGGCUUGGUAUGUCAAUGGUGAAAUCCCGUGGCUCAACCAUGGAACUGCCGUUGAAACUGCCUUGCUUGAGUACAGGAGGGGAGAGUGGAAUUCCUAGUGUAGCGGUGAAAUGCGUAGAUAUUAGGAGGAACGCCGGAGGCGAAAGCGACUCUCUGGACUGUUACUGACACUGAGGCGCGAAAGCUAGGGGAGCAAACAGGAUUAGAUACCCUGGUAGUCCUAGCCGUAAACGAUGGGCACUAGAUGGAGGGAGUUCCGAUGCUUUCUCUGUCGAAGCUAAUGCGAUAAGUGCCCCGCCUGGGGAGUAUGGUCGCAAGGCUAAAACUCAAAGGAAUUGACGGGGACUCACACAAGCGGUGGAGCAUGUGGUUUAAUUCGAAGCAACGCGCAGAACCUUACCCGGGUUUGAAAUGCAGGGAUUAACCUUCUGAAAAGAGGGGGAUUGCCUUUGGUGUAACCUGCGCAGGUGUUGCAUGGCUGUCGUCAGCUCGCGUCGUGAGAUGUCGGGUUAAGUCCCUUAACGAGCGAAACCCUUAUCUUUAGUUGCCAGCGGGUAAUGCCGGGGACUCUAGAGAGACUGCCGUUGUUAAAACGGAGGAAGGUGGGGACGACGUCAAGUCAUCAUGGCCUUUAUGUCCGGGGCUACACACGUGCUACAAUGGCCGGUGUAAAGUGAAGCAAGACCGCAAGGUGGAGCAAAUCACACAAAGCCGGUCCCAGUCCGGAUUGGGGGCUGCAAUUCGCCCCCAUGAAGUCGGAAUCGCUAGUAAUCGCGGAUCAGCCAUGCCGCGGUGAAUAUGUUCCUGAGUCUUGUACACACCGCCCGUCAAGCCACGAAAGCUGGUAGUACCUUAAGUCGUGUACCUAACCUUCGGGAGGGAAGCGCCCACGGUAAAACUAGUGAUUGGGACUAAGUCGUAACAAGGUA
Molecule: ribosomal RNA, 1498 nt
Filed under: metagenome
Description: bacterial SSU rRNA
Rfam family: Bacterial small subunit ribosomal RNA
Source: RNAcentral